Molecule: ribosomal RNA, 497 nt
Filed under: uncultured bacterium
Lineage: Bacteria
Description: partial 16S ribosomal RNA
Rfam family: Bacterial small subunit ribosomal RNA
Source: RNAcentral
GAUGAACGCUGGCGGCGUGCCUAAUACAUGCAAGUCGAGCGAACAGACGAGGAGCUUGCUCCUCUGACGUUAGCGGCGGACGGGUGAGUACCACGCGGAUAACCUACCUAUAAGACUGGGAUAACUUCGGGAAACCGGAGCUAAUACCGGAUAAUAUAUUGAACGGCAUGGCUCAAUAGUGAAAGACGGUUUUGCUGCCACUUAUAGAUGGAUCAGCGCCUGAUUAGCUAGUUGGUGAGGUAACGGCUUACCAAGGCGACGAUGCGUAGCCGACCUGAGAGGGUGAUCAGCCACACUGGAACUGAGACACGGUCCAGACUCCUACGGGAGGCAGCAGUAGGGAAUCUUGCGCAAUGGGCGAAAGCCUGACGGAGCAACGCCGCGUGAGGGAUGAAGGUCUUCGGAUCGUAAAACUCUGUUGUUAGGAAAGAACAAAUGUUUAAGUAUCUAUGGACGUCUUGACGGUACCUAAACAAAAAGCCACGGCUAACUACGUG